GAGUUUGAUCAUGGCUCAGAUUGAACGCUGGCGGCAUGCCUAACACAUGCAAGUCGCGCGGAGUGUAGCAAUACACUUAGCGGCGGACGGGUGAGGAAUACAUAGGAAUUUGCCCUUAAGUGGGGGAUAGCCAGGGGAAACUCUGGGUAAUACCGCAUGAUGUCGAGAGACCAAAGCCGGGGACCGCAAGGCCUGGCGCUUUUGGAGAAGCCUAUGUCUGAUUUAGCUAGUUGGUGAGGUAACGGCUCACCAAGGCAACGAUCAGUAGCUGGUCUGAGAGGACGAUCAGCCACACCGGAACUGAGACACGGUCCGGACUCCUACGGGAGGCAGCAGUGGGGAAUAUUGGACAAUGGGCGCAAGCCUGAUCCAGCAAUGCCGCGUGUGUGAAGAAGGCCUCGGUUGUAAGA
Molecule: ribosomal RNA, 410 nt
Filed under: uncultured Gammaproteobacteria bacterium
Lineage: Bacteria; Pseudomonadati; Pseudomonadota; Gammaproteobacteria
Description: bacterial SSU rRNA
Rfam family: Bacterial small subunit ribosomal RNA
Source: RNAcentral